AACGAACUCUUCGGAGUUAGUGGCGGACGGGUGAGUAACACGUGGGAACGUGCCUUUAGGUUCGGAAUAACUCAGGGAAACUUGUGCUAAUACCGAAUGUGCCCUUCGGGGGAAAGAUUUAUCGCCUUUAGAGCGGCCCGCGUCUGAUUAGCUAGUUGGUGAGGUAAUGGCUCACCAAGGCGACGAUCAGUAGCUGGUCUGAGAGGAUGAUCAGCCACAUUGGGACUGAGACACGGCCCAAACUCCUACGGGAGGCAGCAGUGGGGAAUCUUGCGCAAUGGGCGAAAGCCUGACGCAGCCAUGCCGCGUGAAUGAUGAAGGUCUUAGGAUUGUAAAAUUCUUUCACCGGGGACGAUAAUGACGGUACCCGGAGAAGAAGCCCCGGCUAACUUCGUGCCAGCAGCCGCGGUAAUACGAAGGGGGCUAGCGUUGCUCGGAAUUACUG
This 445-nucleotide ribosomal RNA is filed under the name Brevundimonas vesicularis. RNAcentral describes it as "bacterial SSU rRNA". It matches the Rfam family "Bacterial small subunit ribosomal RNA", at positions 65 to 556 of the family's 1533-position model. Lineage: Bacteria; Pseudomonadati; Pseudomonadota; Alphaproteobacteria; Caulobacterales; Caulobacteraceae. The record is from RNAcentral.